GAACAGGAGUGAACAAUUCCUGUUUUUCUGAUUCUCCUUUCCCACCAAAGAUUCCUAACUUUCAACACAGUUGCUGAAGCUUAGGGGGAAGUAUGUAAUGAUGUUUGUGACAAAAAAUAAAUGUGAUCAACUGGUAAAAACAGCCUGAUGUUGUGUCUUCAGUGAAUGUUCCCACUAGCCAGGCUGAGCUUAAGGUGUAUGGUCAACUAAACAAUCCAAAAACCAUGUAGCUCCACAAUAAUCAGAAAUUCUGGAUCCAGUAAAACAAGUCUCCUUUAAGACAUGGCUGAAUGCUGGAAGAAAGUAAAGAAAGUUCCUGGAGUCAAAGAUGAAGUGAGAAGGAAAAAUCAGAGCAGUGAGUACGUGCAUGUAUGCUAGAGCCACUCAGGGUGGGAGUUGCCUGGCUUGGCCACCUAGAGGCUUGGAUUAGAAUGCUCAGGCCAGGGCAGAAUGUGAGGCCUGGAGAUACAGAAUGCUGGGUGUUGGAACUGCAACCCCUGCAGAAAUCCUGGUCUUCAGAAGGGCUAUACUCAGAGUGAGGGAAUGAAUCAGGAAAUGCACCCAUCGGCUCAGGGAGACAAUAAAGGUGAUUUUCUAUCUCAGUGGUCUGGGCUCUAGGGGAAAAGUUUCCCUUGAGAGUUUGUAAUCAUGGGUCUGUCAUUCCAUUGGUUCUGAAAACCUCUAAACUGAGAAAUAAACAUAAACUGA
Molecule: long non-coding RNA, 708 nt
Filed under: Homo sapiens (human)
Lineage: Eukaryota; Metazoa; Chordata; Mammalia; Primates; Hominidae
Description: HSALNT0042731
Source: RNAcentral